UACGUAGGGUGCGAGCGUUAAUCGGAAUUACUGGGCGUAAAGCGUGCGCAGGCGGUGAGUUACGUCUGCUGUGAAAGCCCCGGGCUCAACCUGGGAAUGGCAGUGGAAACUGGCUCGCUGGAGUGUGGCAGAGGGGGGUGGAAUUCCGCGUGUAGCAGUGAAAUGCGUAGAGAUGCGGAGGAACACCGAUGGCGAAGGCAAUCCCCUGGACCUGUACUGACGCUCAUGCACGAAAGCGUGGGGAGCAAACAGG
Molecule: ribosomal RNA, 253 nt
Filed under: uncultured bacterium
Lineage: Bacteria
Description: partial 16S ribosomal RNA
Rfam family: Bacterial small subunit ribosomal RNA
Source: RNAcentral